AAUUUACAUGUACAACUAUUGAGAUUCUUAUUAGAAACCACGCCGAAGUACGUCUUUUAUUAAUUUUUAUCAAAAUUUGAUAAUGAAUAAUUUCUAAUGAAUAAUGCAGAAGAAACGAGAAACACUCUUGGAUAUAAAAAAGAAGAUGUUGUAUGAUUGCCAAUGAGACACCUCUCCACAAGAGACCAAAAUGACACAGAAAUCAACAACUAUAGGUCACCG
Molecule: long non-coding RNA, 222 nt
Filed under: Mytilus galloprovincialis (Mediterranean mussel)
Lineage: Eukaryota; Metazoa; Mollusca; Bivalvia; Mytilida; Mytilidae
Source: RNAcentral